This 425-nucleotide ribosomal RNA is filed under the name uncultured bacterium. Its description in RNAcentral is "partial 16S ribosomal RNA". It matches the Rfam family "Bacterial small subunit ribosomal RNA", at positions 354 to 796 of the family's 1533-position model. The record is from RNAcentral.
GUGGGGAAUCUUAGACAAUGGGCGCAAGCCUGAUCUAGCCAUGCCGCGUGAGCGAUGAAGGCCUUAGGGUUGUAAAGCUCUUUCGUGGGGGAAGAUAAUGACUGUACCCCAAGAAGAAGCCCCGGCUAACUCCGUGCCAGCAGCCGCGGUAAUACGGAGGGGGCUAGCGUUGUUCGGAAUUACUGGGCGUAAAGCGCACGUAGGCGGACUGGAAAGUCAGGGGUGAACUCCCGGGGCUCAACCCCGGAACUGCCUUUGAAACUCCCAGGCUUGAGUUCGAGAGAGGUGAGUGGAAUUCCGAGUGUAGAGGUGAAAUUCGUAGAUAUUCGGAGGAACACCAGUGGCGAAGGCGGCUUCCUGGCACAAUACUGACGCUCAUGUGCGAAAGCUAGGGCAGCGAACGGGAUUAGAAACCCGUGUAGUCC